CCGGGUUGUCCUUGCCGUAAAUAUAUCACCGGGGCGCAUAAUCUUGUUCUGUAACCUCCCGCAAAUCCCAGGGACGUGCAGAAUUCAUCAGCUCCAAGGUAUGUGAGGCUGGAGUUCGAAGAGAAAAGCCUCUCCCUCUUACGAUUCCAAACAUAUUAAGGAAACACCCUCUGCAGGGAUUUUUUUUUUUUUUUUUUUUUUUUUACUGAUGGGUCCCUUUCACCAUAGUGAUGUGGAGGUGUGUUUAAUUCUUUUACCAAGAGGACUUCAGGGAAACGGGGAUCCUGAAGGAACACAGAGUUUUUGCAGCCGGUUGACUGGGACAUCACUGGAAACUCAUUCUGUAUGCUUGGGCAAAGUUCCAGCAAUCUAUUGCUCUGUGUGACGAAACCACUCCAAAAUGUAGCCGUUUAAUACAACAGCAACCAUCUAUUACAUUCAGCGCAGCGACUGGUCUCAGCUGGGUGGUUCUCUGCUUCAGGGUGGGAUCAGCUAGGGCCGCAGUCAUCCAGAGACUUCACCGAACAGGAAUAUCCCAGAUAGUUUCUUCUCAUGGUUAUCAGUGGGUAUGAACUCCUGACUGGGAGCUCACCUGGGACUGUCUACAGAAGCCCCUGGUUCGCCUCCAUCUGGCCCCUCCUACUUCUUGUGCUUCUUACAAUAAUAAAGCGGGCCUUCCGGGUUGGAACAUUCCACGUGCGAACGUAGAAGCUGGAGACCUCGAUGGCCCAGGCUUGGAGCAACACAGAUAGACUUUUACCUCAACUUUGCAGUGAGGUAUGGCCAUCUCACUGCUUUCUGACUUCUGCGACGUGAGUGAAGCGAUGUAUGCCACUUCCAGGCCUGGCCUCCAAAUCUCCUGGGUGCCACCUGCAUGAUCUUUCACGUCUGCAGCUUUGAUGCCAGUGUCGAAGGUGCCGGGCCACAAGGACAAAAGAGGUUGUUCCCAAGCUCACUGCUGAGAUAAAUCUGACCAUUGAUCAAGAGCGUAAAACCAACUUCUUUGGUGUUAAACCGUUGAGAUAUUCCACAGUAGCAUCUACGAUUACCUAAACUAAGAAGCGAUGGGUCAUUUUUCCUUGGACCAGGGCGCUAGAGGUGAAGAUGAUGAGGAGUGGUCAGAUUCUACAUCAUCAGUAGUGUGACAACAUUUUUCAAGGAUUUGGAUGUGGUAAGAUAGUAAGAGAGGAGCCAAGGACCAUCUAAAUGUUUUUGCCUGGAAUAUGUGUAGGGAGGAAUGGCCAUUUAUUGAGAUGGAAAGAUU
Long non-coding RNA from Herpailurus yagouaroundi (jaguarundi), 1264 nucleotides. RefSeq lists it as uncharacterized. The record is from RefSeq and is a predicted model, not a curated record. Lineage: Eukaryota; Metazoa; Chordata; Mammalia; Carnivora; Felidae. The transcript is spliced from 3 exons.